GAUGAACGCUGGCGGCGUGCCUAAUACAUGCAAGUCGAGCGAACGGACGAGAAGCUUGCUUCUCUGAUGUUAGCGGCGGACGGGUGAGUAACACGUGGAUAACCUACCUAUAAGACUGGGAUAACUUCGGGAAACCGGAGCUAAUACCGGAUAAUAUUUUGAACCGCAUGGUUCAAAAGUGAAAGACGGUCUUGCUGUCACUUAUAGAUGGAUCCGCGCUGCAUUAGCUAGUUGGUAAGGUAACGGCUUACCAAGGCAACGAUGGAUAGCCGACCUGAGAGGGUGAUCGGCCACACUGGAACUGAGGCACGGUACACACUCCUGCGGGAGGCAGCAGUAGGGAAUCUUCAGCAUUGGGCGAAAGCCUGACGGAGCAACGCCGCGUGAGUGAUGAAGGUCUUCGGAUCGUAAAACUCUGUUAUUAGGGAAGAACAUAUGUGUAAGUAACUGUGCACAUCUUGACGGUACCUAAUCAGAAAGCCACGGCUAACUACGUG
RNAcentral lists this ribosomal RNA (497 nucleotides) under uncultured bacterium. Its description in RNAcentral is "partial 16S ribosomal RNA". It matches the Rfam family "Bacterial small subunit ribosomal RNA", at positions 28 to 507 of the family's 1533-position model. The record is from RNAcentral.